Transfer RNA from Gregarina niphandrodes, 82 nucleotides. It matches the Rfam family "tRNA". Rfam says of the family: Transfer RNA (tRNA) molecules are approximately 80 nucleotides in length. Their secondary structure includes four short double-helical elements and three loops (D, anti-codon, and T loops). NCBI's taxonomy places the organism in Eukaryota, Apicomplexa, Conoidasida, Eugregarinorida, Gregarinidae. The record is from Rfam.
GGCAGCUUGCCCGAGUGGUUAAGGGGGUAGACUAGAAAUCUACUGGGCUUUCCCCGCACUGGUUCAAAUCCAGUAGCUGUCG